This 745-nucleotide ribosomal RNA is filed under the name uncultured Sulfitobacter sp. RNAcentral describes it as "bacterial SSU rRNA". It matches the Rfam family "Bacterial small subunit ribosomal RNA", at positions 87 to 868 of the family's 1533-position model. The record is from RNAcentral. Lineage: Bacteria; Pseudomonadati; Pseudomonadota; Alphaproteobacteria; Rhodobacterales; Roseobacteraceae.
GGGACCGAGCGGCGGACGGGUUAGUAACGCGUGGGAACAUACCCUUUUCUACGGAAUAGCCUCGGGAAACUGAGAGUAAUACCGUAUAAGCCCUUCGGGGGAAAGAUUUAUCGGGAAAGGAUUGGCCCGCGUUAGAUUAGAUAGUUGGUGGGGUAAUGGCCUACCAAGUCUACGAUCUAUAGCUGGUUUUAGAGGAUGAUCAGCAACACUGGGACUGAGACACGGCCCAGACUCCUACGGGAGGCAGCAGUGGGGAAUCUUAGACAAUGGGCGCAAGCCUGAUCUAGCCAUGCCGCGUGUGUGAUGAAGGUCUUAGGAUCGUAAAGCACUUUCGCCAGGGAUGAUAAUGACAGUACCUGGUAAAGAAACCCCGGCUAACUCCGUGCCAGCAGCCGCGGUAAUACGGAGGGGGUUAGCGUUGUUCGGAAUUACUGGGCGUAAAGCGUACGUAGGCGGAUCAGAAAGUAGGGGGUGAAAUCCCAGGGCUCAACCCUGGAACUGCCUCCUAAACUCCUGGUCUUGAGUUCGAGAGAGGUGAGUGGAAUUCCAAGUGUAGAGGUGAAAUUCGUAGAUAUUUGGAGGAACACCAGUGGCGAAGGCGGCUCACUGGCUCGAUACUGACGCUGAGGUACGAAAGUGUGGGGAGCAAACAGGAUUAGAUACCCUGGUAGUCCACACCGUAAACGAUGAAUGCCAGUCGUCGGGCAGUAUACUGUUCGGUGACACACCUAACGGAUUAAGCAUC